RNAcentral lists this ribosomal RNA (346 nucleotides) under uncultured bacterium. Its description in RNAcentral is "partial 16S ribosomal RNA". It matches the Rfam family "Bacterial small subunit ribosomal RNA", at positions 338 to 681 of the family's 1533-position model. The record is from RNAcentral.
CCUACGGGCGGCAGCAGUGAGGAAUAUUGGUCAAUGGACGAGAGUCUGAACCAGCCAAGUAGCGUGAAGGAUGACUGCCCUAUGGGUUGUAAACUUCUUUUAUAGGGGAAUAAAAUGUGCCACGUGUGGGAUGUUGUAUGGACCAUAUGAAUAAGGAUCGGCUAACUCCGUGCCAGCAGCCGCGGUAAUACGGAGGAUACGAGCGUUAUCCGGAUUUAUUGGGUUUAAAGGGAGCGUAGGUGGAUUGUUAAGUCAGUUGUGAAAGUUUGCGGCUCAACCGUAAAAUUGCAGUUGAAACUGGCAGUCUUGCGUCCAGUAGAGGUGGGCGGAAUUCGUGUUGUAGCUG